CCUACGGGAUGCUGCAGUGAGGAAUAUUGGUCAAUGGGCGUAAGCCUGAACCAGCCAAGUCGCGUGAGGGAUGAAGGUUCUCUGGAUCGUAAACCUCUUUUAUAAGGGAAUAAAGUGUGGGACGUGUCCUAUUUUGUAUGUACCUUAUGAAUAAGUAUCGGCUAACUCCGUCCCAGCAGCCGCGGUAAUACGGAAGAUCCGAGCGUUAUCCGGAUUUAUUGGGUUUAAAGGGUGCGUAGGCGGCCUUUUAAGUCAGCGGUGAAAGUCUGUGGCUCAACCAUAGAAUUGCCGUUGAAACUGGGGGGCUUGAGUAUGUUUGAGGCAGGCGGAAUGCGUGGUGUAGCGGUGAAAUGCGUAGAUAUCACGCAGAACCCCGAUUGCGAAGGCAGCCUGCCAAGCCAUGACUGACGCUGAUGCACGAAAGCGUGGGGAUCAAACAGGAUUAGAUACCCCGGUAGUC
This 460-nucleotide ribosomal RNA is filed under the name uncultured bacterium. RNAcentral's name for it is "partial 16S ribosomal RNA". It matches the Rfam family "Bacterial small subunit ribosomal RNA", at positions 338 to 795 of the family's 1533-position model. The record is from RNAcentral.